UUGGUCAAUGUGUGGGUUCGGCAGCCAUGGCUGGUAAUGUGGUUAGCGGAAACACGUUAUUAAUUUGGUCAGAAAGAGGUGUGUCGAAUUUAUUCGCCUGGUGCAGCAAAGGUUGAUCCCGUUGAAAGGUGUUUGCUGACUCAUGAGAAUUUUACACCCUUACACGGCAUUUUGAGGUGAGGGCAAACUUGUCCCACCGCCUAUCAGGGCUGUUAGACAUGAAUGUUUGCUACCUCAUUGCACUAAAAGAAAAGUGCUAGAUAUGCAUCUUUUACAUGUCAGAACAAUAUGCAUUUUAGCAGUUUGGAGACACCAGGAAAUCAAGAGCGUCGAGACACCUUUUUCGUGAGCGCUAUUGUUAGAACGCACCAAACUGACAGCCCAAGGCCUGGCCAUUGUCUGUACAUUAGCAUAUUACGUUGCGCGCCAUUGCACAUGGCAGCAUAUCACGGCGAUGGAGUCACUGAGACCACAGACUGUACCUUGGCACAGUUUUAUUUAGGAUCUAAUAUAUAGCACCGGAAGAAAAAAAGAUAAUAAACCAUAUUAAAAUUACUUGACACAGUAUGGGGGGAUCCCUAAGCGAUUUUCAAUUUGACGCUUGAAAUACACACAAGGAAUGAACUAAUGAAAUGGCUGCGACUUCAGCUAGGCAAUUACAAUGUACUCAUUUAUUACACGUUGUAAGAGACACUUGUAAGACUCUGGUGCGAGGAGGAAUGUGUGCGUUACAUUUGGUUUAUGCAUUAAUUGUCAGGUUUGAAGCAGUUGAUGGGUAUGAUAUUCUAGCCAGCAAAAAAUAUAUAUGUAUUUAAACUUGGGCUAUAUUGAUAAAUUCCGCCACAUGACACAAUGAAGAGCACAACCGAACAAAAAGAUGACACACCGUGAAUUUUA
Long non-coding RNA from Nematostella vectensis (starlet sea anemone), 897 nucleotides. RefSeq lists it as uncharacterized. Lineage: Eukaryota; Metazoa; Cnidaria; Anthozoa; Actiniaria; Edwardsiidae. The transcript has 2 exons. The record is from RefSeq and is a predicted model, not a curated record.